AUGCCAAUGUGCUGGGGAGCAGCGACAGAGCGAAUAGCAGGUCCCAUGGCCUAAGGAGGAGAGAUCCUGACUUGGUGUCUCCGAGGAGGAUCAAGACGAGCGGGAGUUGAGCAUGCCAGAACCGGCGCCCCUCGGCGCAGACAAGAAAGCGGUGGAGAAGAAGCGUGCGGAGAAGGUGGGAGCGAAAGGCAGCACCUCCGUGCCCCCAGUCCCCAAGAGCCUCCCUGUGAAGAGGACAGUGGAGCCCCAAAGCCUCGACCCCAUGGAGGAGCCGCUCAUCUGGGAAGGGCUCACCCUCAACAAAUGCAUCCUCGUGGCCUCCUUCGUCGCCCUGCUCAGCGUCAGCUUCCAGGUGCUCCAAGCACCUUGCUCUAGGGAAGGAAUUAGCAGUGACAGACAGGCCCCUCCACCUCCACCCCUUCACGAGGUCAUUGACACCAAGGAGGACAUCCCAGAAGUGGUGGCUGCCCCACCGGUCCAACCCGAGACCAGCCUGUUCGAGGACAGUGAUGGUGACGAUGACAGGGAAGAUGACAGUGAAGCUGACAGCAACCUGGCCGAGCCAUGGAUCUUCAAGAAAUGGUUUGGCCGCUUGGAGCAAGAGGACGAAGAGGAAGAACCCGAAGCCGAACCUGAGGAGCCACCAGCCAAGGUCGAGGUGAGGAAGAGCCGAGAGAAGCCCAGAGGCCCGGAGAGGAAAGAAGAGAAGCUCAGGGAAAGUCGUGCAGCCCAGGUGGAGAGGAGCAGCCGGAAGGAGACGCGACCCAAGGACAGAGCCCCUGAGGACAAGGCUGGCAGAACCCCAAGGGCACCCAAGGAGCCGGAGCAGCAGCCCUACAAGAAGCGGGGCCGGGAGGGCAAGGAGGGCAGGCGAGAAGGGAGGGAGCGCGAUGAGCACAAGAAAGAUGAGUGGAAGGGCCGCCCCGCCAAGGCUGACCGCGAGGACAACCGGAAGCGGGACUGGAGGCAGCAGCGAGGAGAGCAGAAGGGCAAGAAGCCCUGGGAGCAUCACACGUCUGCCCCGGGGAAGGACAGCACUGCCAGGCCCAGGGAAGGCAAGAAGCGUGACUGA
This 1072-nucleotide long non-coding RNA is filed under the name Apteryx haastii (Great spotted kiwi). RNAcentral describes it as "lncRNA (ENSAHAG00000011356.1)". Lineage: Eukaryota; Metazoa; Chordata; Aves; Apterygiformes; Apterygidae. The record is from RNAcentral.